GGAAGCAAAAGUCGUAACAAGAUUUCCGUAGGUGAACCUGCGGAAGGAUCAUUAUUGUAUAACCGAGGUGCGAGGGCUGUCGCUGACCCGAAAGGUCGUGCACGCCCGAGUGCCCUCACACACAUCCAUCUCACCCCUAUGUGCACCACCGCGUGGGUCCCCCUUUGGCUUGUUCGGAGGGGGGCUUACGUUUUCACACAAACUUUGUAUGCAGUGUAGAAUGUAUUUUUUGUUUUUGCGAUCACGCAAUCAAUACAACUUUCAACAACGGAUCUCUUGGCUCUC
Molecule: unclassified non-coding RNA, 285 nt
Filed under: plant metagenome
Description: partial contains small subunit ribosomal RNA, internal transcribed spacer 1, and 5.8S ribosomal RNA
Rfam family: Eukaryotic small subunit ribosomal RNA (bases 1-54)
Source: RNAcentral